GGGCGAUUAGCUCAGUGGUAGAGCGCUUCGUUCACAUCGAAGAUGUCAGGAGUUCGAAUCUCUUAUCGCCCACCA
RNAcentral lists this transfer RNA (75 nucleotides) under Paracoccaceae bacterium. RNAcentral's name for it is "Rhodobacteraceae bacterium (marine metagenome) tRNA-Val". It matches the Rfam family "tRNA". Rfam says of the family: Transfer RNA (tRNA) molecules are approximately 80 nucleotides in length. Their secondary structure includes four short double-helical elements and three loops (D, anti-codon, and T loops). The record is from RNAcentral. RNAcentral also lists the same sequence under 2 other names. Lineage: Bacteria; Pseudomonadati; Pseudomonadota; Alphaproteobacteria; Rhodobacterales; Paracoccaceae.